AUCCAGAGAACUCAGUUGGUAGAGCAUAUGACUCUAAAUCUCAGGGCAAUGGGUUCAAGCCCCACGUUGGGCA
This is a non-coding RNA of Podarcis lilfordi (Lilford's wall lizard), 73 nucleotides long. Lineage: Eukaryota; Metazoa; Chordata; Lepidosauria; Squamata; Lacertidae. The record is from the annotation of a GenBank genome assembly.